AUCUGAAUAGCUUAUGUUUAGAGCGUGACAUUGAAGAUGUUAAUGAGGCAUUAUUGGCCUUUAGGUG
This 67-nucleotide transfer RNA is filed under the name Stylotermes sp. Chi-131. RNAcentral's name for it is "tRNA-Phe". The record is from RNAcentral. Lineage: Eukaryota; Metazoa; Arthropoda; Insecta; Blattodea; Stylotermitidae.